RNAcentral lists this ribosomal RNA (253 nucleotides) under uncultured Acidobacteriota bacterium. RNAcentral's name for it is "uncultured Acidobacteria bacterium partial 16S ribosomal RNA". It matches the Rfam family "Bacterial small subunit ribosomal RNA", at positions 524 to 776 of the family's 1533-position model. The record is from RNAcentral. Lineage: Bacteria; Pseudomonadati; Acidobacteriota.
UACGGGGGGGGCGAGCGUUGUUCGGAAUUACUGGGCGUAAAGGGCUCGUAGGCGGCCUCUUAAGUCGGACGUGAAAUCCCCCGGCUCAACCUGGGAACUGCGUCUGAUACUGGGGGGCUGGAAUGCGGGAGAGGGAUGCGGAAUUCCAGGUGUAGCGGUGAAAUGCGUAGAUAUCUGGAGGAACACCGGUGGCGAAGGCGGCAUCCUGGACCGUGAUUGACGCUGAGGAGCGAAAGCCAGGGGAGCAAACGGG